GGCCUUGUAGUCUAGAGGUACGAUACUUGCUUUGGGUAAUCAUGUGAAAUACAUGCAAGACGCUGCAAGUGGCCUGGGUUCGAUUCCCAGCAAGGCCC
Collybia nuda is the source of this 98-nucleotide non-coding RNA. Lineage: Eukaryota; Fungi; Basidiomycota; Agaricomycetes; Agaricales; Clitocybaceae. The record is from the annotation of a GenBank genome assembly.